GACGGCUUCGGGAGAGCGACCCGAUGGCUGGCAGAACCCCUGUUUCCUGCGUGAGCGAUCGCGGGAGACAGUGUUCUGUGACAACAAAUCAGUAGAAAUUUGGUGCGUUUGCCAAGGAUUUCUGUAUCGCGGCAAACGUGCAUAUACAGAGAUCGCAUCGCUCGGGAAGAACGCAGUUCUUUUCGCGGUCCUGUAGCCCCC
Molecule: small RNA, 201 nt
Filed under: Synechococcus sp. KORDI-100
Lineage: Bacteria; Bacillati; Cyanobacteriota; Cyanophyceae; Synechococcales; Synechococcaceae
Description: Cyano-2 RNA
Rfam family: Cyano-2 RNA
Source: Rfam by way of RNAcentral